GAGAAGCGUAGCUAUGUCUAGGACCAGGAAUCUCCAAUGUUACCAAAUCGUUCGACCGCUGACUAAUAGAAAGUGCUAGAAAAUUGGACGAAUGAUGAUAACAAGGUUAGGUGCUACAAAUUGACGUCUAAGUCAAAUGAGUUGCAACAUCAGGUCAUAUAGACUACUUAGGCUAUGUUGACUCACCUACAAAGGUUAUAUGGUGAGAUGAGUCGAUUUGUACAUUAUGAAGUAUCUGAGAGACUCUUCAAUGCUAAGAUGAAUUAAGGGCAGUCAGUCUAUAAUCAUCGUUUGAUAAUGAUCAAAGAUCUGGAGGAGCUUGAAAAGCUCGACAUGACCAUGCAUAAGAAAUUGCAAGCGAAUUUGAUCCGGCAAUCUCUUACUAGUUCAUAUAGAUAGUUUAUAAUAAACUACUAUAUGAACAAGAAUGAUUAUCCCCUAACUGAGUUAUUAGGCAUGUUGAUGACCACCUAAGAGACUUUGAAGAGUUUAAAGGGCACAGUUCUCGCUGUGAAGUGGAGAAACUGUCAAGAAAAUCUAAAAAUCUUUAAAAAAAAAUGAAAGGGACACACUUUUAAAAGGUACGUUAGACUACUUAUAAAAGCAACUAAUCUUAUGAUUUCUUUUACUUCAUGUUGAGCGACAAACUCUGGUUCUAGUGUACUUUUGUGCACUUCUAUGCAGGGUCUUAAGGAAAAUACAAGGCUUGGGAAGGUGAGAUGACCCUUUGAGUAGGCAACAGGGCAAGAGCUGCUACUAUGGCUGUAGGCACCUAUCUUCUACGAUAAUCGUGUGGGUUUAGUUUCUCUAAAGAACUAUUAUAAUGUUUUUGCUACUAGCAAAAACUUGAUUCUGUUUUAGCACAGGAUAAUUAUGAAUUUAGUUUUCAUAAAGACUAUCGUACCUUUUAUUUUGAAAAUAAAAUAGUUGGACAUAGCUUUAUGAUUAAUAGUCUCCAUCAUUUAUAUAUUGAUGUGAAUGUAUUCGA
This 988-nucleotide long non-coding RNA is filed under the name Elaeis guineensis (African oil palm). RNAcentral describes it as "long non-coding RNA (EGUI_LNC007002)". The record is from RNAcentral. Lineage: Eukaryota; Viridiplantae; Streptophyta; Magnoliopsida; Arecales; Arecaceae.